Non-coding RNA from Coelomomyces lativittatus, 82 nucleotides. NCBI's taxonomy places the organism in Eukaryota, Fungi, Blastocladiomycota, Blastocladiomycetes, Blastocladiales, Coelomomycetaceae. The record is from the annotation of a GenBank genome assembly.
GAGUGAGUGUCCGAGUGGUCCAAGGAGCGGCAUUAAGGCUGCCGUCUCGUAAGAGGCGCGGGUUCGAAUCCCGUCUCACUCA